Molecule: unclassified non-coding RNA, 378 nt
Filed under: plant metagenome
Description: partial contains 5.8S ribosomal RNA, internal transcribed spacer 2, and large subunit ribosomal RNA
Rfam family: 5.8S ribosomal RNA (bases 1-105)
Source: RNAcentral
GAAAUGCGAUAAGUAAUGUGAAUUGCAGAAUUCAGUGAAUCAUCGAAUCUUUGAACACACCUUGCGCUCCUUGGUAUUCCUUGGAGCAUGCCUGUUUGAGUAUCAUGAAAUCUUCAAAGUAAAUCUUUUGUUAACUCAAUUGGUUUCUACUUUGGUAUUGUAGGUCUUUGCAGCUUCACACCUGCUCCUCUUUGUUCAUUAGCUGGAUCUCAGUGUUAUGCUUGGUUACACUCGGCGUGAUAAGUUAUCUAUCGCUGAGGACACUGUAAAAGGUGGCCAAGGUAAAUGCAGAUGAACCGCUUCUAAUAGUCCAUUGACUUGGACAAUACUUUUAUGAUCUGAUCUCAAAUCAGGUAGGACUACCCGCUGAACUUAAGC